CGGGACUUGGUGCAACGGUAAAGGUUGCUCCAUUGUGACCAACUACCAUAUCAACCUACCGUGGAGUUCGUGGAGAGUAAGUCAUAAUUUCUUCCAGCACCUUGUCAUUGACUUUUUGGAGUCGUCUUGUGUCUUGGUUCAUCGCCACCCAUUUGCUGCAG
This is a long non-coding RNA of Telopea speciosissima, 161 nucleotides long. RefSeq lists it as uncharacterized. NCBI's taxonomy places the organism in Eukaryota, Viridiplantae, Streptophyta, Magnoliopsida, Proteales, Proteaceae. The record is from RefSeq and is a predicted model, not a curated record. The transcript has 2 exons.